RNAcentral lists this ribosomal RNA (484 nucleotides) under uncultured bacterium. RNAcentral describes it as "partial 16S ribosomal RNA". It matches the Rfam family "Bacterial small subunit ribosomal RNA", at positions 30 to 507 of the family's 1533-position model. The record is from RNAcentral.
AUUGAACGCUGGCGGCAGGCCUAACACAUGCAAGUCGAGCGGAUGAAGGGAGCUUGCUCCUGGAUUCAGCGGCGGACGGGUGAGUAAUGCCUAGGAAUCUGCCUGGUAGUGGGGGAUAACGUCCGGAAACGGGCGCUAAUACCGCAUACGUCCUGCGGGAGAAAGUUGGGGAUCUUCGGACCUCACGCUAUCAGAUGAGCCUAGGUCGGAUUAGCUAGUUGGUGGGGUAAAGGCCUACCAAGGCGACGAUCCGUAACUGGUCUGAGAGGAUGAUCAGUCACACUGGAACUGAGACACGGUCCAGACUCCUACGGGAGGCAGCAGUGGGGAAUAUUGGACAAUGGGCGAAAGCCUGAUCCAGCCAUGCCGCGUGUGUGAAGAAGGUCUUCGGAUUGUAAAGCACUUUAAGUUGGGAGGAAGGGCAGUAAGUUAAUACCUUGCUGUUUUGACGGUACCAACAGAAUAAGCACCGGCUAACUUCGUG